RNAcentral lists this long non-coding RNA (452 nucleotides) under Lathyrus oleraceus (garden pea). Its description in RNAcentral is "Pisum sativum (pea) long non-coding RNA (PSAT_LNC026028)". The record is from RNAcentral. Lineage: Eukaryota; Viridiplantae; Streptophyta; Magnoliopsida; Fabales; Fabaceae.
AGUGAGCAUGUCAAUUAACUUGUAAAGAAUUAAAUGAGAAUUAAUCCUCAAGCUAAAGAUUAAUUUCCUUAACACAUGAUUAUUUUUCACAAGAUACGAAAUAAAUGAAAAAAAAAUAAAGCCUAAAAUCUAAACAUGUUAUUUUCUAAGUAUUCAUAUUAAAAUGCAUAAAAAGUGCAUCUAAAAAUAAAACCUAAAAAAGGAUUUAAACACAAAUUAAAAAAAAAAUAAAAGAAAGAAAACCCAAAGAAACCAUAAAAACAAAAUAGAGAGAUAGGGGGUGCGUGUAACAUUUUGAUGGUGGUGUAAAAACCAUUCUGGUCUGGUCUUGGGGAUUAAGCCCAAAAUCAAGAAGUAUGCUCAGGUUUGGGGUGUUAAAGCUAACUCGGGGGUGUUAGCAGCAAAAUGAUUGGCCUUAGGACAUUUGGAGCCCAAUCCAUUUAGUCACUUGA